RNAcentral lists this transfer RNA (64 nucleotides) under Centrorhynchus clitorideus. RNAcentral's name for it is "tRNA-Cys". Lineage: Eukaryota; Metazoa; Acanthocephala; Palaeacanthocephala; Polymorphida; Centrorhynchidae. The record is from RNAcentral.
GAGCUAAUAGUUGAGUAAUACAAUAUGGGAUUGCAAGUCCUAAGGAGCAGGCUCUGUUCAAGUC